AUGUAUAACGGUGCCUGCCAUGCAGGAGAAUAGGAAAGUUAAGUGAAAAUCUUACACGGUCACGCCGCUGUAAUGGAGGAGCUGUAUUUUAAUAUGCCACUGCUGUAACGGGAAGGCAAAAUGCAGCAAAGAUACCUGAGUCAGAAGACCUGCCUUAUACA
This 161-nucleotide non-coding RNA is filed under the name uncultured Blautia sp. The record is from RNAcentral. Lineage: Bacteria; Bacillati; Bacillota; Clostridia; Lachnospirales; Lachnospiraceae.